RNAcentral lists this transfer RNA (70 nucleotides) under Azana sp. WQY005. RNAcentral's name for it is "tRNA-Cys". The record is from RNAcentral. Lineage: Eukaryota; Metazoa; Arthropoda; Insecta; Diptera; Mycetophilidae.
GAUUUUAUAUUCAAAUAAAUGAUAUUAAAAUGCAAUUUUAAAGGUGUAAUUAAAUUAGUUACUAAAAUUU